UGAAUACGCGAUGAGCUCUUUCCAGAGAUCCUAAUGACUGAAGGUGAAAUGCAGUAGAGCCCUAGGACAACCGAAUCUACUGAUAAACUGUUCGGACAAAGCAGCAGCGACAGACACUGAAUCGAUAUUAGUUAAAGGUAAUGGAUCCACAAUGUCCAUCUACACCUAUUCGAACGCAACCUUGGGAGUGCCAGUAAUUCGC
Hylaeus anthracinus is the source of this 202-nucleotide long non-coding RNA. RefSeq lists it as uncharacterized. The transcript is spliced from 3 exons. Lineage: Eukaryota; Metazoa; Arthropoda; Insecta; Hymenoptera; Colletidae. The record is from RefSeq and is a predicted model, not a curated record.